AUCCAUGAGUAAAGUGGCGACCGGGUGAGUAACACGUGACUAACCUACCUUCGAGUGGGGGAUAACAUCGGGAAACCGAUGCUAAUACCGCAUAACAUCGCAAGAUCAAAGCAGCAAUGCGCUUGAAGAGGGGGUCGCGGCUGAUUAGCUAGUUGGUAGGGUAAUGGCCUACCAAGGCUUAGAUCGGUAGCCGGCCUGAGAGGGCGCACGGCCACACUGGAACUGAAACACGGUCCAGACUCCUACGGGAGGCAGCAGUGGGGAAUUUUGCGCAAUGGGGGAAACCCUGACGCAGCAACGCCGCGUGGAGGAUGAAGUCCCUUGGGACGUAAACUCCUUUCGACCGGGAAGAUACUGACGGUACCGGAAGAAGAAGCACCGGCUAACUCUGUGCCAGCAGCCGCGGUAAUACAGAGGGUGCGAGCGUUGUUCGGAAUUAUUGGGCGUAAAGGGCGCGUAGGCGGCGCGGUAUGUCACCUGUGAAAUCUCCUGGCUCAACUGGGAGCUUGCAGGCGAAACUGCCGUGCUGGAGUGUGGGAGAGGUGCGUGGAAUUCCUGGUGUAGCGGUGAAAUGCGUAGAUAUCAGGAAGAACACCUGUGGCGAAAGCGGCGCACUGGACCACAACU
RNAcentral lists this ribosomal RNA (627 nucleotides) under uncultured bacterium. Its description in RNAcentral is "bacterial SSU rRNA". It matches the Rfam family "Bacterial small subunit ribosomal RNA", at positions 82 to 741 of the family's 1533-position model. The record is from RNAcentral.